UGGGGGAUAUUGCACAAUGGGCGAAAGCCUGAUGCAGCGACGCCGCGUGGGGGAUGAAGGCCUUCGGGUUGUAAACUUCUUUUGCUCUGAACAAGGCAUGCUAAUGGGUGUGUUGAGUGCAGGGGUUGAUUAGCGCCGGCUAACUACGUGCCAGCAGCCGCGGUAAUACGUAGGGCGCGAGCGUUGUCCGGAAUUCUUGGGCGUAAAGGGCUUGUAGGUGGCUGGUUGCGUCUGUCGUGAAAGCUCAUGGCUUAACUGUGGGUUUGCGGUGGGUACGGGCUGGCUUGAGUGCAGUAGGGGAGGCUGGAAUUCCUGGUGUAGCGGUGGAAUGCGCAGAUAUCAGGAGGAAUACCGGUGGCGAAGGCGGGUCUCUGGGCUGUUACUGACACUGAGGAGCGAAAGCAUGGGGAGCGAACAGG
RNAcentral lists this ribosomal RNA (419 nucleotides) under bacterium. RNAcentral describes it as "partial 16S ribosomal RNA". It matches the Rfam family "Bacterial small subunit ribosomal RNA", at positions 355 to 776 of the family's 1533-position model. The record is from RNAcentral.